UACGAAGGGGGCUAGCGUUGCUCGGAAUCACUGGGCGUAAAGGGUGCGUAGGCGGGUUUUUAAGUCAGAGGUGAAAUCCUGGAGCUCAACUCCAGAACUGCCUUUGAUACUGAAAGUCUUGAGUAUGGGAGAGGUGAGUGGAACUGCGAGUGUAGAGGUGAAAUUCGUAGAUAUUCGCAAGAACACCAGUGGCUAAGGCGGCUCACUGGCCCAUAACUGACGCUGAGGCACGAAAGCGUGGGGAGCAAACAGG
RNAcentral lists this ribosomal RNA (253 nucleotides) under uncultured bacterium. Its description in RNAcentral is "partial 16S ribosomal RNA". It matches the Rfam family "Bacterial small subunit ribosomal RNA", at positions 524 to 776 of the family's 1533-position model. The record is from RNAcentral.